Bombyx mori (domestic silkworm) is the source of this 1013-nucleotide long non-coding RNA. RefSeq lists it as uncharacterized. Lineage: Eukaryota; Metazoa; Arthropoda; Insecta; Lepidoptera; Bombycidae. The transcript has 2 exons. The record is from RefSeq and is a predicted model, not a curated record.
UCCACAUACCUAAUUAAAUUUAAUUAGACGACCAUGUAAGUAAUUGCUUAUUACUAAAACACUGACUGCCAGUCUUCGUCGGACAUUUAUUAAAUUAAAUAAAACACCUUCCAACACUAAGUCUAGACCACACAAGCGGAAAUUCCACAAUCUACCACUGGAUCGGAAUCGCGACCCACUGAGAAGUUCCGGCGAUUUAUAUGUAUGAUUUUUAUUAUGAUUGAGUUUUUACUGGUGGCCCGGAGGCUUUUCCAGUUUCACACAGACAGGUGAGCGAGCAAGGGCUCAGCCAGAAGGGGCGGGAUUUGCUAACAGCUACCCGAGCGCCUCCCAGGGAGACCUAACAACUCAAGAGUAGCUGCCUCGCGAAUGAAUCUACUGCCGGAUCGGGAUCGCGACUCGCUGAGAAGAUUCGGCGAGAAAUUCAACGGGCUGAUGCUUAGGCUAGGUACGUUUCUUAAGUACAAAGACCUCCUCAAGCAAAUUCCGGAGAGAUUCGUCAGCGGCAGGAUGCUGUUGUCCAUUAGCGACGAUGAUGACCCAGCAUCAGAUGAGUCUUACUCAUGAGCCUUCGAAGGCAAUACCGAAGCACUUAAUUAUGUGUUCACAGGUAUUUAAUGUGAUAUAGGUAAGUCUAAUCCAAGUUUUAAUAAUUUGAUUAUUUUGAUUACGGCCGAGAUGCUAUUUAAAUUUAUAGAUUUCAGCUGUUAUAAGGAUCGGAUAGCCAUUUAUCAAAUGACUCUUCAGGCCCAUCUCUAAAGCUUGGUGGAGACAUUUUCAUGUCUAUGGACCAGGGUGUCUCCACUUGGAAGGGGGUCAAGAAUUCGUUCACUAGUCCAAAAGAAGAACAGUACAACCACCAUAUAUAAUUACGUAAUACUCUCAUUUAUUGGUAGUCCCAAUUGGAGCUUAUACGACUUUUAAGUUCGCAUAAGGAUAGCAAAGUUCUAGAUAAAUCGGUUCAACUGUAUAGUGUUUUAAUGUAAGUAAAUGGAUGUGACGAAUCGUUCAGA